This is a long non-coding RNA of Bufo bufo (common toad), 243 nucleotides long. RefSeq lists it as uncharacterized. The record is from RefSeq and is a predicted model, not a curated record. The transcript is spliced from 3 exons. NCBI's taxonomy places the organism in Eukaryota, Metazoa, Chordata, Amphibia, Anura, Bufonidae.
ACGCUGUGGAGACCUUGUACCCUGAGGAGCACUCUAGAAAUAUACAGAGCGCCUGGUUAGAACUGUGCAUCGCCACUCUACCUAUUUCUUUGGGAGCACCGGAAAUAGCCAAGCACACACAGGAAAGAACACUGACACUGGAGUAUUUGAACCGGCGUGAUCAGGAAUUAACACAGCAGGCAGGCUGACUUCAGGAACAAACUUGACCAGGGACCCAUGUGGCUUGGCAAUGAGGGGCAGACG